GAGACGGAGGAGGAUUAGGGAAUGCGCCGAGCUCGAUGAGGGGAAUCACUGCUGAUGGAUCGCGAUGCGAUGCGGUACGGCGUGACGAGGCCGAUGGGCGCCAUGGCCACCCACUCCCUUCAACACGCUCACGGGUUGGUUCCUCGAUCGCGCCGCCGGGGCCGGGCCGGGCCGGGCAGGGCAUUGGCCGGCGCACCGCCCCGGUUCCCGAGGACAGCUUGCCCCGACCGGACCGCUCGUGCUCCCUCGCCUGUGGAGGCGGGGAACCGACGCGUGUCGGCCGUCGCCGGGUGGUGGACGGUGGCCUCGAGUUCCAAGGCAGCGCCCUUGUCGUGGCCUUUUCUGGAUACGUCUCUUUCAUCGUCCCCCUGCGUGCGCCGAAAGGCAUGCUUCUGCUUCCUGACCAUCGCGCCGCUGUCGCAUCGAGAGCUACGAAUCCUCGUGUUGCGGUUAUUACAUCUGGUGAUGCGAUUGAUUACCGCACUCAUGCAACCAAUCAUUUUGAUAUAGGAUCGAUUCUUAUUGUUGCCAUCACAACCUCAGAAGUAUAUAAGCAUUGGUGGCAAAUGUUGCGACCAAAAUGCUGCAGCUGGCCACAAUGAUCGCCACCGAUCCGAUUGAUUGCCUAUUGUUUCUGAAGUAAAAGGGAACGGGAAAAUGAAGAAAGACGGAAUAGCCGGAAGCGAUCCACCAUUUCACAAGGUGGAAGAUUCGUUCCUCAGAAUUACAGGUCUUGGCUUCUCCUCCAAAGUUGGGUUUUUGAGAGAAUUGAGCCAACAAAGAUCAGCUGUCGAGCACCAGAAACAACUCAAUCAAUCUCAUGCUCUGGGACAUGCGAAUACGAGGCAGGAAUCAUCCCUUUCUGCCAAGUUGGCCUGGUGAAAAAAAGAAUCCGGCUUACUGGCCUCCUCUGCUUCCUCACGUUCUUCUGCCAUUGACCAGUUCUUGAUGCAGGUAAUGGCAGAGUAGAACUGGCAUCUUAAGAAUUGAAUGUCCUAAUCCAGGUCCACAUUGCUUCGAGAUCAAAUAAGCCCUCUGACGGCUAUAGGAGUCAUCAUCUCCAAGUGUCGAGCAGAGAGAAUUGAAAGAUCUAGCACGCUCGGAGAACAUCCAAUAUGGAGUUGAAUACACGAACAAGUUUGACAACAAAACGACAUGUAGAAGCAAUGGUAGGUUUUCUGCUGCUGCAGUAUCAAUCCAGAUGGGAAUAUGCGGGGCAAUGAAACCUCCAGACUAGGCAUGUAUUAUGAAAUCUUCCGAGUGAAGCAUGUAGCAGUUCAGCAAUCAAAUGGAAAUUUCAGUUUCACUGAGAACAAGGAUGAUAAUGGAACCCUCAAAAAAGGUUAUGAAAGACUGAUACUUUCUUGCAGGCACAGUAUGCAAGCGUCCAAUGUACUGGGGUGACUUCUGCUUCAGAUAUCUGACCAUUGAACUGAAUUCAAGAAGGGAAGAUUGAUUUAGUGGCUUGCCUUUGUAAAGCUUUCAGUUCAUCAUCUCUGAAGAUCUAAUGAUGAAAUUUCUCUUUUCCAGACUUUCUGGUGGGGCACAAAGUGCAUCCUAACAAUUACAUUCAACCAACUGCCUCAGUCUUUGGGGGACAUAAACAAGCAAUCUUGAGGAGCUCAGCCAAUCACCUGGGAGGCUUGUGCCUGAAUGGAGUAGGCAAUAAGGCUACUUUAUUUUGUAGCUCAGAAACCUAGGUCCAUGAUCCUCAGUUUUGAGUCAGAGUCCAAGAUAUACCACUGCACUGUUCCAGCAUCAACCAAGAAUGCAAUCAGGCUAAACCUCUUGGCCCUAAUCAUCACUGGAAAAGAACAAGAGGGACAUGAGGGAAAGAGAUGGGGUCUGAGCUCCAUCUGAGAUAAAGAUGACACCUCUUGAUUGAUCCAUAAAGCACAUCCACUAAAUAUUGUCCAAGUGGGCCAAAUCUUUUAUUAGUAGACUAUGAACCAACUAAAGCUUUGUUUUGGUCUCUAAAGAAGAAAGCAAGCGGGGAACCCCAAAAGGGUGCAUUGGGACUAUAGAGAACAGUAUCAUAAGUUUUGGCUGCUUCUUUCUUCAACGCUGCAAGCCAUGCGCUGACGCCACCGUUUGCUUCGGAAAUGAGGCAUUGGAAGCGCACAGUGCACAGGUUUAGUCAAUGCUUCAGAGGUGGACAUCAGCUAUUUGCACAACAGAUAACAACAAAUGAUAAGGGGAUGUGAAGAACUCCAAAGUCCACUCUCGAGACACAUCAAUAAUCCAUGGCGGUGGGGUUGUCCUUGGGAUGUGACAGGUGGGUAGUCCUCCAAGUGUAUAAAGUUUUUGACAGACAAAUUUGAUGCACUGUGCACACCUCUCUCCAUGCAUGCAUUGAUGAGGGAAAAAUAAGGUGUCACAGUGCGGAAAGAAACUACCAGGUGGAAGUUACUGCAAGGCCAUGCCAGUUCUAGUGAUCGUGUAUUGUUCUCCAUGACUAGAAAUGUGAUUGAUUCAUCAACAGACCAUUCUUUUCAUGUGAAAUCAGUGGAUACUAUUCAGAUGGAAGUUUACUGCAACAAACAGAGGUAAGGCUCAGGUAAUUUCUUUGUGGCAUCAGAUAAAGAACAUGUGUAAUGCUCCCACCAAAGUUUUACUGCAGUCAUUUCAAGCAUUGACUGCAUUUUUUGGGUUCUGUGAGAACAAAGCCUACCUUAAACACAGCAGAAUGACUAUUAAAGCCACAUUCAUUUGUUUACAUCUGAACUGCUUGCUUGCAAGAGGGCAAAGGGGGGAGGGCAUUUCCCAUGUCAACUUUUUGUUGCUUGAGGCUUGUGCUACUUGACAAGAAGAAGACAAUUAAGUGCCUUUGGUCAACAGGAAAAAGAAGACAAGAGAGAAUCUAUCUGAAAGAAGAUAGAGAUAGAGGAGGCUAUGUUAACAGAAAAACAUAUAAAAAUCUCAUGGAUUGACUUUUUUGCUGGUAGCAGAAAGAUUUUGGUUUGAAUGGAAGAUUGAGUAGCUGAAAUCUUCCUGUGCUGACCUGCCAACAUCUCCAAUGUCAAUGUUCUAAACACAGCCUGACUUCCACAUGACUCCUCCCCAAUGAGAUAGAUGGCUUCUUAUCCAGCUCCUGGUCAAAUUACAGGACCCUUCUUUUCAUAAAUAGUUGUCAAAGUGUUUUCCAUAGGAGGCGAUAAUGAUUUGCUGGAAUGAUGGCGACCAAAUUGAUAGUGUUGAUGAGUGUGGUCCAAUCUAAGCUUCUGUUUGAUUAGGAUAUAUUAUCUUAUGGUAACAAAUUUCAAAGAAAGUUUCACUUUGACAUCAUGAUGACAUUGAAGAUCAUGCUUGACCUUGUUUCAUUAGCAUUUGAAAAUAUAAUUGUCUCAAUCCUACACCGACCAUUUGUUUGUUCAUGAUGUUUAUUAGAGAAACA
Musa acuminata AAA Group (dessert banana) is the source of this 3394-nucleotide long non-coding RNA. RefSeq lists it as uncharacterized. The transcript is spliced from 4 exons. The record is from RefSeq and is a predicted model, not a curated record. Lineage: Eukaryota; Viridiplantae; Streptophyta; Magnoliopsida; Zingiberales; Musaceae.